Molecule: long non-coding RNA, 955 nt
Organism: Dicentrarchus labrax (European seabass)
Lineage: Eukaryota; Metazoa; Chordata; Actinopteri; Moronidae
Exons: 2
Source: RefSeq, a predicted model, not a curated record
CAUGGUUGGGAGCACUGCACACGUUACUAGCGGAGCUCUGACAGUUCGAGCAGAGAGGCAUUAAUUGCUCUUGGGGGCCUCCUAGUGGUCACGGGGCCCUAAGCAGCUGCUUUGUUCGCUUAUGCCUUGGGCCGGCCCUGCCUACAAGUUCCUGGGGGUGACACUCAACAAAAAACUGGACUGGACGGACCACAUUCAGGCCCUCUACUAGAAAGGACAGAGCAGGCUGUUCUUUCUGAAGAGGCUCAGGUCAUUCAACGUGUGCCUUCAGCUACUACGGAUGUUCUACCAGUCUGUAGUGGCCAGUGUCCUCUUCUUUGCAGUGGUCUGUUGGAGUGGAGGCAUCAGCACUGGGAGUUAGAGUUAGGGCUUAGCUUAGCAAGCUGGUGAGGAAGGCCAGCUCGGUGGUGGGGAUGGAGCUGGACAGUGUGGAGGCUGUGAGUGAGAAGAGGAUGAGAGGACAGCUGAAAGCCAUCAUGGAGCCUCAGCUCUCUAGACUGAGCUGAGGCAGCUCAGGAACACUUUCAGCUACAGACUGACCCAGCUCCGAGCCUCAAAGCGGUUUGGAGGCUUGUUUGUUCCAUAUGCCAUCAGACUCCACAACGCCACAGCACCCAGUACCUCCAACCCCCGCAGACAAAGACUGGUUUAAAACUACAACGCACAAAUCUUUUGCACUAUUUAUAUUUAAUUUUGACUUGUACAGUUUAGUUUUUAGAUUUUUAGUUUUAGUCAAGUUUAAUUUUCUGCUCAUAUUUUGCACUCCAUGUCCUACUUGAACAAUGUGUAUAUACUUUCAUUUAUAGUUUUAUAUCUUCUAUUAUAUUUAGUAUUUUGUAAUAUUUUUAUUUGUGAUAUUCUUUGUUCUCUGUUUUGCACUACUUUGCCCUAUUGCUGCUGUGUCAACCUGAAUUUCUCCUAAAGGGGAUUAAUAAAGGAAUAUCUUAUCUUAUGA